GGGGGCCGCGCUCGCUUCCGGGUCCGGGUCCGGUGUCGGGUUCUGAGGUCGCUCCUUCACGCCUACUUGUGUUGCUGGUCACGGCCCCUAGUAGCCGCAGUGGGCUGCUCUGGGCUACAGAGCGUUGAGGUGGGUGGGACUAGGUGCCGGAGUGAGCCAGGGGCGUUUUCAGGGAGGCAAAGGGGGAGACGGCUUCUAAGGGUACAAUGAGGAAACAGCUCGCCAAGCACCUGGAAGCCCCUUUCCGAGUUCCCUCCAGCGCACAGGCUGUGGGAGGACAGUCUGCAUUGGCCCGAGGCUCGGUGACCUCAACGUGCGUCUCCACAACCUAUGUGGACCCAGUGGCUGGAAUUCUAGCAGUCAUUAAAAACAUGAGGAUGCAGAUCUCUCCAUGAAGACCAAAGGAUCCAAGGUUCCUGAUGACAUCAUAGAACUGCCAUACUGGCCUUGGGGUACUGCCUCUUUGAAGUCACUGUUUGGUGGUGUUUCUCUGAUGAGGUGUUCAUAGGAAAACACAGUUCCUAAGCAGGACACAAACACUGACCUUGAGGAGCUCAGAGUGUGGAGAGAAGAAAUAUGCAAAGAUAAAGUGAGCUUCUUUCACUGGACAUGUCCUCAAGGUUCACCCAUGCUGUAUCAUGCGUCAAAAUUUCCUUCCCUUUAAGGGUGAGUAAUGCCCAUUGUAUGUCUGUGCCACAUUUUGCCCAUCCAUUCAUUUGUGGAUGGGCCCUGGGGUGUCUUCUGUCUCUUGGCUGUAAUAAGUAAUGUUGUCAGGAACAUGGCUGUACAACCUUGGCUGAUUUCCUAAUGUUAAACCAGCUUUGCAUUCCUGGGAUAAACCAGAAAUAUUAUUAUUAUAUCUUAUACACUAUUAAAUUUGAUUUUAUGCAUUUUUUAAUUCAGUUGGCUAACAUUUUGCUUAGAGUGUUUGCAUCUGUGGUCAUGAGGGACUGUAGUUUUCUUUUCUUAUGAUGUCUUUAUCCAGUUUGGGACUUAGGUAAUGCUGCCCUCUUAGAAGAAAUCAACAAAUUCUGUUUCUGUUUUGUAAUAGAUUAUGGGGAACUGGCAUUAUUUCUUUCUUCAGUGUUUGGUAGAAUUCAUGAAUGAAGUUGUUUGGGUUUGAACUUUUAUUUAUGGGGAAGUUUGAAUUACAAAUUUAAUUUCAAUUUAAAAAUGUAAGUUGUUUAUAUUUGGGUUAUUGAUUUGAUUUUGCACAGACUCUGGUCACUUCUAUCUUAAAGAAUUUGUACAUUUCAUAUGAUGUUCUUUUAUCAUUUUAAUAUUGGUGGGAUUUGUGUUGGUAUCCUCUCUCUCAUUCCUGGUAGUGGUAAUUUAUUUCUGCUCUAUUUUUCUGAUCAGUCUGACUUGAACUUUAUCAAGUUAAUUGAUCAUCUCAAAGAACCAACUUUUAUUAAUUUUUAUAUAUUGUUUCUGUUUUCUAUUUCAUUGAUUUUUUAAAAAAGAUUUAUUUUAGGAGCCAGCACUGUGGCUUAGCAGGUAAAGCCGCCACCUGCAGUGCUGGCAUCCCAUAUGGGCUCUGGUUUGAGUCCUGGCUGCUCCACUUCCGAUUCAGUUCUCUGCUGUGGCCCGGGAAAGCAGUAGAGGAUAGCCCAAGUUCUUGGGCCCUUGCACUGUGUGGGAAGACCCAGAGGCAGCUCCUGGCUCCUGGCUUCAGAUAUGUACAGCUCUGGCUGUUGCAGCUAACUAGGCAGUGAACCGGUGGAUGGAUGACCUCUCUCUCUGCCUCUCCUUCUCUCUGUGUGUAAC
Oryctolagus cuniculus (rabbit) is the source of this 1767-nucleotide non-coding RNA. NCBI's taxonomy places the organism in Eukaryota, Metazoa, Chordata, Mammalia, Lagomorpha, Leporidae. The record is from RefSeq and is a predicted model, not a curated record.